GUUACCCAGGUAACAAGUGGUAGAAACAGGUCAAGAUGCUAGGUAGAUCAUUUUUCCUGGCUUACCACUUUUGCUACCACUUCGUGUCCCAAAGUUCCCAGUUUACCCAAUAUUUUUGUGUGGGACCCAACACUUGGAUAAGUGGUUCUACAGGAGUCUCUGGCCUGCUUUUCCUCCUCCUUAUCUGUGUUACCACUCUGGGUCUGAAAGGGUCUUCUCUGUUGAAUGUCCCUGACUGACCAGUUUCUGUUUCAGUGGCCCGUUGCCGACAAGCCCUGGUGCCGCGUGCCUUCCAUGCUUCAGCUGUGGGGCUAAGGUCUUCAGAUGAGCAGAAGCAGCAGCCUCCCAACUCAUUUUCUCAGCAGCAUUCUGAGACACAGGGGGCAGAAAAACCUGAUCCAGAGUCUUCUCAUUCACCCCCCAGGUAUACAGACCAGGGCGGCGAGGAGGAGGAGGACUA
This 460-nucleotide long non-coding RNA is filed under the name Homo sapiens (human). RNAcentral's name for it is "long non-coding RNA NONHSAT173107". Lineage: Eukaryota; Metazoa; Chordata; Mammalia; Primates; Hominidae. The record is from RNAcentral.